ACUUUUGAGGUGUGGAUGCGCUUUUGUGCAAGAAGUUUUUGCGGAAGAUCUCUUCAGCAAAAACCUUCUUUGGAAAAAACCCUGCAGUGUAGACAAAGCCAUAGUGUCAGCAUUUAUUAACUGUGAUAGCAACUUUAAAAUUACAAAAACAAAUCCUAGAAUUAUAGCUAUGAAAGUUAUAUUAAUUACAUUGACCAGUCAAUAAAUAAUGUAUAACAAGGAGUAUUACACAAUAUACAACUGUUGCAACAAUGUACAAUAUACACAAUGCUAUUUUGUGCUACCUACAGUAUGUUACAUUCUCAUACUACCCUCAAAGUAGGUUUUGUGGACUGACUGAUUUCUUUAACUUGCUCUGCGGCAGUGAAUAGCCAAUUACAAUAUCAAUCAUGAAUUAUAUUGUUUAAAUUUAAAAAUUAUUUAAUCUUUAACUUGUUUUUAGAUGUAAUACUUAAAACUCCAGAGAGAGGUCACAGAGAUUAGUAUUUUUUUUAUUAUUAUUUUUUUCUGUUCAGUUGACAGCACUUAUAGUACAGACUGUUUUCCCAUUUACAUUUUUUCUCCUGUUUUAUACAGGUGUCUUAAGGUAGAGAUAAGGAUUUACAAUUUAGAAAAUGAAAAACUACAAACUUAGCAAGGGAACUCACGGGCAGAUAUAAUAA
Pelodiscus sinensis (Chinese soft-shelled turtle) is the source of this 662-nucleotide non-coding RNA. NCBI's taxonomy places the organism in Eukaryota, Metazoa, Chordata, Testudines, Trionychidae. The record is from RefSeq and is a predicted model, not a curated record.